ACUGCCCCUAGAGGCGUUGCAGGUGUGGCUGCCAUGCCCGCCUGCGUCAUUAGGUGGCAGAGAGCAGAGAGGCUCGCCUACACCCAGCGUCCUGGCCGUGGGCACCUGGAUGGUUGACAACCUGACACG
Molecule: small nucleolar RNA, 129 nt
Organism: Myotis lucifugus (little brown bat)
Lineage: Eukaryota; Metazoa; Chordata; Mammalia; Chiroptera; Vespertilionidae
Product: small nucleolar RNA SNORA17
Source: Ensembl